Molecule: ribosomal RNA, 720 nt
Filed under: Pseudo-nitzschia sp.
Lineage: Eukaryota; Bacillariophyta; Bacillariophyceae; Bacillariales; Bacillariaceae
Description: LSU rRNA
Rfam family: Eukaryotic large subunit ribosomal RNA
Source: RNAcentral
AUGUGAAUCUGCGCUCUUGUGGCGCCCAAUUGUGGUCUAUAGACUUUAACGUUAUCUGCCGGGCCAAGUUCCUUGGAAAAGGACAGCUGAGAGGGUGAGACUCCCGUCCGCCUGGUAGAGUGAGUUAUUGUCAACGAGUCGAGUUGUUUGGGAUUGCAGCUCUAAUUUGGUGGUAAAUUCCAUCUAAAGCUAAAUAUUGGUGGGAGACCGAUAGCGUACAAGUACCGUGAGGGAAACAGGCAAAGAACUUUGAAAAGAGAGUUAAAGAGUACCUGAAAUUGCGGAAACGGAAGCGAAGGAAACCAGUGUUUGUUGGUUCAUAUUUCCCUGGCCACUUGUGGUUUGGGCGCUGUGAGCUUGAGUGGGUUUGCUUUGGUUGAUCCCUUUGCAAGAGCGCCAGUCAGAGUUGUACGCCUGUAAGUCUAGCUACUGGAGUUUGACUAAUGCAGAUUUCCAACAGGGUAUUCUUGUACCCCGUCGUUCAAACACGGACCACUAGGUAGUCUAACAUGGAAGUUACCACCAGAGUACAGCGGUGUCAAACUCCCGGUGCGUAACGAAAGUCGACAGCGGUUGGACUAUAACUCAUUGCUACAAUGCCGACGGCAGUCUCAAUCCUCUCGGGAGAACGGUCCUUUGAGUGUGAGCAUACAUGUUGGGACCCGAAAGAUGGUGAACUAUGCCUGAAUAGGGUGAAGCCAGGGGAAACUCUGGUGGAGG